This 495-nucleotide ribosomal RNA is filed under the name uncultured Flavobacterium sp. Its description in RNAcentral is "bacterial SSU rRNA". It matches the Rfam family "Bacterial small subunit ribosomal RNA", at positions 9 to 507 of the family's 1533-position model. The record is from RNAcentral. Lineage: Bacteria; Pseudomonadati; Bacteroidota; Flavobacteriia; Flavobacteriales; Flavobacteriaceae.
GAGUUUGAUCAUGGCUCAGGAUGAACGCUAGCGGCAGGCUUAACACAUGCAAGUCGAGGGGUAUAGGUUUUCGGACCUAGAGACCGGCGCACGGGUGCGUAACGCGUAUGCAAUCUGCCUUUUACAGAGGGAUAGCCCAGAGAAAUUUGGAUUAAUACCUCAUAGUAUUAUUGAAUGGCAUCAUUUAAUAAUUAAAGUUCCAACGGUAAAAGAUGAGCAUGCGUCCCAUUAGCUAGAUGGUAAGGUAACGGCUUACCAUGGCGACGAUGGGUAGGGGUCCUGAGAGGGAGAUCCCCCACACUGGUACUGAGACACGGACCAGACUCCUACGGGAGGCAGCAGUGAGGAAUAUUGGUCAAUGGGCGCAAGCCUGAACCAGCCAUGCCGCGUGCAGGAUGAAGGUCCUAUGGAUUGUAAACUGCUUUUGACAGGAAGAAACACUGGAACUGUUCCAGCUUGACGGUACUGUAAGAAUAAGGAUCGGCUAACUCCGUG